AAAAACUUUAAAUAAUCACCUACAAACUAACACAUCGAAGCCCGUGAGCUAGCACGAGGUAUGUGAAACAGAACAUAGCAGGAUAUGGGAUUGAACACCAUAUAGAAACACCAGCAAUGCCGAAAAACGUUGCCUGUAAAUCUUCCUGUAAUCGAAUCCAAAGUACCGACGACCCCAAAACAACGCACGACGCCCACGAUGCUAUAUGAAGCACCGCUAACACUGACAUUUUUACUACACUAAUCAGAAGACUGUUUCCAGGUUUACUGUCGUUCGAUUUUUCCUGUGCCAUGAUGCUUCCCUGGUCCACGUACAGCACGCAGUACAGUUACCCGCGUAAUAUCCUAUAGUAUCGCUUAUAAGAGCUCAUAACUAUUGGCCACAACUCAAUUGAGAAUGCGAAUAUUAGAAGUUGUUCGCAUCCCAUAUCAGAUUUUGUAUCCUCAAAUGUUUCUUUGUUUGUUGUCUAUUGUGUUUCUACAACAAAAGGGGCGGGCCAAGCAAACUGACAUAAAGUGGGCGUAACAUAUGUGAAAAAUUAUGUUAAUGCCACCUUCGUUUCUCAUUAAAC
Non-coding RNA from Ciona intestinalis (vase tunicate), 571 nucleotides. The record is from RefSeq and is a predicted model, not a curated record. NCBI's taxonomy places the organism in Eukaryota, Metazoa, Chordata, Ascidiacea, Phlebobranchia, Cionidae.